CCUACGGGUGGCUGCAGUGAGGAAUAUUGGUCAAUGGGCGCGAGCCUGAACCAGCCACGUAGCGUGAAGGAUGACUGCCCUACGGGUUGUAAACUUCUUUUAUAAAGGAAUAAAGUGAGGCACGUGUGCCUUUUUGUAUGUACUUUAUGAAUAAGGAUCGGCUAACUCCGUGCCAGCAGCCGCGGUAAUACGGAGGAUCCGAGCGUUAUCCGGAUUUAGUGGGUUUAAAGGGAGCGUAGAUGGGUUGUUAAGUCAGUUGUGAAAGUUUGCGGCUCAACCGUAAAAUUUCAAUUGAUACUGGCAGUCUUGAGUACAGUUGAGGGAGGCGGAAUUCGUGGUGUAGCGGUGAAAUGCUUAGAUAUCACGAAGAACUCCGAUUGCGAAGGCAGCUUACUAAACUGCCACUGACAUUGAGGCUCGAAAGUGUGGGGAGCAAACAGGAUUAGAUACCCCAGUAGUC
RNAcentral lists this ribosomal RNA (460 nucleotides) under uncultured bacterium. Its description in RNAcentral is "partial 16S ribosomal RNA". It matches the Rfam family "Bacterial small subunit ribosomal RNA", at positions 338 to 795 of the family's 1533-position model. The record is from RNAcentral.